Molecule: ribosomal RNA, 464 nt
Filed under: Vreelandella stevensii
Lineage: Bacteria; Pseudomonadati; Pseudomonadota; Gammaproteobacteria; Oceanospirillales; Halomonadaceae
Description: partial 16S ribosomal RNA
Rfam family: Bacterial small subunit ribosomal RNA
Source: RNAcentral
CUACGGGUCUCUGCAGUGGGGAAUAUUGGACAAUGGGCGAAAGCCUGAUCCAGCCAUGCCGCGUGUGUGAAGAAGGCCUUCGGGUUGUAAAGCACUUUCAGUGGGGAAGAAAGCCUUGGGGCUAAUACCCUCGAGGAAGGACAUCACCCACAGAAGAAGCACCGGCUAACUCCGUGCCAGCAGCCGCGGUAAUACGGAGGGUGCGAGCGUUAAUCGGAAUUACUGGGCGUAAAGCGCGCGUAGGCGGUCUGAUAAGCCGGUUGUGAAAGCCCCGGGCUCAACCUGGGAACGGCAUCCGGAACUGUCAGGCUAGAGUGCAGGAGAGGAAGGUAGAAUUCCCGGUGUAGCGGUGAAAUGCGUAGAGAUCGGGAGGAAUACCAGUGGCGAAGGCGGCCUUCUGGACUGACACUGACGCUGAGGUGCGAAAGCGUGGGUAGCAAACAGGAUUAGAUACCCGGGUAGUC